RNAcentral lists this ribosomal RNA (700 nucleotides) under uncultured bacterium. RNAcentral's name for it is "bacterial SSU rRNA". It matches the Rfam family "Bacterial small subunit ribosomal RNA", at positions 8 to 719 of the family's 1533-position model. The record is from RNAcentral.
AGAGUUUGAUCAUGGCUCAGAGUGAACGCUGGCGGCGUGCUUAACACAUGCAAGUCGAACGAGAACGGGUUACAGCUUGCUGUAACUGUCAGCUAAGUGGCGCACGGGUGAGUAAUAUAUAGGUAACAUGCCCCAAAGAAGAGGAUAACGUUUGGAAACGAACGCUAAUACUCUAUAUGCCUUUAAGUCAUAAGACUGCAAGGGAAAUAUUUAUAGCUUUGGGAUUGGCCUGUACAGUAUCAGCUAGUUGGUGAGGUAAUGGCUCACCAAGGCUAUGACGCUUAACUGGUUUGAGAGGAUGAUCAGUCACACUGGAACUGAGACACGGUCCAGACUCCUACGGGAGGCAGCAGUGGGGAAUAUUGCACAAUGGACGAAAGUCUGAUGCAGCAACGCCGCGUGGAGGAUGACACAUUUCGGUGCGUAAACUCCUUUUAUAUAGGAAGAUAAUGACGGUACUAUAUGAAUAAGCACCGGCUAACUCCGUGCCAGCAGCCGCGGUAAUACGGAGGGUGCAAGCGUUACUCGGAAUCACUGGGCGUAAAGAGAAUGUAGGCGGGUUAAUAAGUUGGAAGUGAAAUCCUAUGGCUCAACCAUAGAACUGCUUUCAAAACUGUUGACCUAGAAUAUGGGAGAGGUAGAUGGAAUUUCUGGUGUAGGGGUAAAAUCCGUAGAGAUCAGAAAGAAUACCGAUUGCGAA